Molecule: microRNA, 21 nt
Filed under: Oryza sativa (Asian cultivated rice)
Lineage: Eukaryota; Viridiplantae; Streptophyta; Magnoliopsida; Poales; Poaceae
Also listed under: 2 other names
Description: osa-miR160d-3p
Gene: osa-miR160d-3p
Source: miRBase by way of RNAcentral
GCGUGCGAGGAGCCAAGCAUG